AGUGAACGCUGGCGGUAUGCCUAACACAUGCAAGUCGAACGGCAGCACAGUAAGUGCUUGCUCUUACGGGUGGCGAGUGGCGGACGGGUGAGGUAUACUUCGGAUUCUACUUUUUCGGGGGGGAUAACGCAGGGUAACGUACGCUAAUACCGCAUAUGUCCUCCUGGUGAAAGCAGGGGAUCUUCUGACCUUGCGCGAUUGUAUGAGCCGAUGUCGGAGUAGCUAGUUGGCGGGGUAAAGGCCCACCAAGGCGACGAUCCGUAGCUGGUCUGAGAGGGUCGUCAGCCACACUGGAACAGAGACACGGUCCACACUCCUGCGCGAGGACGCAGUCGAGAAUAUUACGCGAUGGGGGAGAGCCUGAUACAGCAAUACCGGGUAGGUCAUGAACGACUUCUGGUUGUUAAGCCCUUUUGUUGGGAAAGAAAAGAAGCACGUUAACCCCCCGCUGUUCUGACGGUACCCAAAGAAUAAGCACCGGCUAACUUCGUG
RNAcentral lists this ribosomal RNA (492 nucleotides) under uncultured bacterium. RNAcentral's name for it is "partial 16S ribosomal RNA". It matches the Rfam family "Bacterial small subunit ribosomal RNA", at positions 29 to 507 of the family's 1533-position model. The record is from RNAcentral.